RNAcentral lists this ribosomal RNA (253 nucleotides) under uncultured bacterium. RNAcentral describes it as "partial 16S ribosomal RNA". It matches the Rfam family "Bacterial small subunit ribosomal RNA", at positions 524 to 776 of the family's 1533-position model. The record is from RNAcentral.
UACGGGGGGGGCAAGCGUUGUUCGGAAUUACUGGGCGUAAAGGGCUCGUAGGUGGCCAACUAAGUCAGACGUGAAAUCCCUCGGCUUAACCGGGGAACUGCGUCUGAUACUGGAUGGCUUGAGUUCGGGAGAGGGAUGCGGAAUUCCAGGUGUAGCGGUGAAAUGCGUAGAUAUCAGGAGGAAUACCGGUGGCGAAGGCGGCAUCCUGGACCGACAUUGACGCUGAUGAGCGAAAGCUAGGGGAGCAAACGGG